CCUCCAGUUCAUUUCUCCAGCGGCCGCACCAGGCGUGUCCAUAGCUCCGCUCCCGGGAGCUCGUCUCCGGCGUGGGGCGUGUGCGCACCCCUGGCCGGGAGGAGCCUGGAGCCUGCUCAUUAGCAGCGCGGGCAGCUCUUGCGCCCGCAGGAGGGAGGCGGAAGCACAGCCCUGCGCCGCCAGCAGGAGGAGGGAGCGCGGCGGCUGCAGGCAGGGGAGGGAGAGGAAAGAACGGAGGGACGGCUCCCGGACAGAGUGGGAGGAAUCGGGGAGCGGCCGGUCCGGGGGGAGCUGCUCCGCUGCGCUGCGCUCGUUAUUCACAGGACGCGGCGGCGUUUCCCGGGGCCGCUUCCCGGUCCCCUGGGUGGAGGCUGCCGUCUAAACCUGACUCCAGAGUUUAAGAUGCAAUGGCCAGAAGACAUGAGCGUGUCACUAGGAGGAUGUGGACGUGGGCUCCGGGGCUGUUGAUGAUGACGGUGGUCUUUUGGGGUCAUCUGUGGAAUGGACAAGGCCAAGUGAUGAAGAAGACAUGCCAACAGAGGGUUAGUUCCAGAUAAAAUGAAAUGUUCCAAACAGUAUGUAUUGUUUAUUUGAAUCAUCUGUGGGGGAAGGAAAGAUAAUUUUCCAAAGGACAUUCCUCCUAAAUUCUGUC
Symphalangus syndactylus (siamang) is the source of this 652-nucleotide long non-coding RNA. RefSeq lists it as uncharacterized. The record is from RefSeq and is a predicted model, not a curated record. NCBI's taxonomy places the organism in Eukaryota, Metazoa, Chordata, Mammalia, Primates, Hylobatidae.